AAUCGAAAUGACAAGCAAUCGGAAUAAACCAGACAAAUAUCAAGACAACAAUGAGACUACGCUAGACUACGAUCACAGACUUGUAGCCACAGUCACGCACUCACCGUUACUUGAUCUGAUACGGAUUCUGACACCUCUUGAUGCUUGGAUUCACGGACAGAAAUCUCCGACGAUUCGCAAAUCACCGGAAACUACAAACAUGAAACAGAUAUGUCGUUCCCUUACUUAAAACAUCGAGAAAAGAUCGAUAAACACCAAGUUUAACCGAUACUUACCCGAGUUACUCAACUUCUCUACGGAUUCUCGAUCACAGCUUGAUCUCUCGGAAAACUCUAACUUUCUCGGAAUAAUUCUCUCGGAAAUUGCAGCUUU
This 372-nucleotide long non-coding RNA is filed under the name Arabidopsis lyrata. RNAcentral describes it as "long non-coding RNA (ALYR_LNC000525)". The record is from RNAcentral. Lineage: Eukaryota; Viridiplantae; Streptophyta; Magnoliopsida; Brassicales; Brassicaceae.